CCUACGGGUGGCAGCAGUCGAGAAUCAUUCACAAUGGGGGAAACCCUGAUGGUGCGACGCCGCGUGGGGGAAUGAAGGUCUUCGGAUUGUAAACCCCUGUCAUGUGGGAGCAAAUUAAAAAGAUAGUACCACAAGAGGAAGAGACGGCUAACUCUGUGCCAGCAGCCGCGGUAAUACAGAGGUCUCAAGCGUUGUUCGGAAUCACUGGGCGUAAAGCGUGCGUAGGGUGUUUCGUAAGUCGUGUGUGAAAGGCGCGGGCUCAACCCGCGGACGGCACAUGAUACUGCGAGACUAGAGUAAGGGAGGGGGAACCGGAAUUCGCGGUGUAGCAGUGAAAUGCGUAGAUAUCGAGAGGAACACUCGUGGCGAAGGCGGGUUCCUGGACAUUAACUGACGCUGAGGCACGAAGGCCAGGGGAGCGAAAGGGAUUAGAUACCCGAGUAGUC
This 446-nucleotide ribosomal RNA is filed under the name uncultured bacterium. RNAcentral's name for it is "partial 16S ribosomal RNA". It matches the Rfam family "Bacterial small subunit ribosomal RNA", at positions 338 to 795 of the family's 1533-position model. The record is from RNAcentral.